RNAcentral lists this ribosomal RNA (326 nucleotides) under uncultured eukaryote. RNAcentral's name for it is "partial 18S ribosomal RNA". It matches the Rfam family "Eukaryotic small subunit ribosomal RNA", at positions 1470 to 1796 of the family's 1831-position model. The record is from RNAcentral.
CCCUUAGAUGUUCUGGGCUGCACGCGCGCUACACUGAUGCAUGCAACGAGUUUUCGACCUUGCCUGAAAAGGUUGGGUAAUCUGUUUAACAUGUGUCGUGAUGGGGAUAGACCAUUGCAAUUAUUGAUCUUCAACGAGGAAUUCCUAGUAAGCGCGAGUCAUCAGCUCGUGCUGAUUAUGUCCCUGCCCUUUGUACACACCGCCCGUCGCUCCUACCGAUUGAGUGAUCUGGUGAAUGAUUCGGACCAGCGUGCUGCUCAGAUCCUGCGCAGUGUGCUGGGAAGUCUAGUGAACCUUAUCACUUAGAGGAAGGAGAAGUCGUAACA